This 271-nucleotide ribosomal RNA is filed under the name uncultured bacterium. Its description in RNAcentral is "partial 16S ribosomal RNA". It matches the Rfam family "Bacterial small subunit ribosomal RNA", at positions 524 to 794 of the family's 1533-position model. The record is from RNAcentral.
UACGAAGGGGGCGAGCGUUAUUCGGAAUCACUGGGCGUAAAGCGUGCGUAGGCUGUCCUACAAGUUGGAAGUGAAAGCCCAGGGCUCAACCUUGGAAUUGCUUUCAAAACUGUAGGACUCGAAUCUCGGAGAGGACAGCGGAAUUUCCAGUGUAGCAGUGAAAUGCGUAGAUAUUGGAAGGAACACCAGUGGCGUAAGCGGCUGUCUGGACGAGUAUUGACGCUGAGGCACGAAAGCGUGGGGAUCAAACAGGAUUAGAUACCCCUGUAGU